AAAAAGAUUUCUGUGGACAAAUUCAUUUAAAAAAUUCUGGAUAGACAAGGACACGGGAUUCUUCGUUUCUUUCAGCUGAAGGGGGAGUCUGCUCUAGCCACUCCAUUAUACCUAGAUGUAGAGGUGCUACCAAAUUAUCUUUUGUUUACCAUUUAUUUAUUGAAUGUUUAAGUGCCAGAAAGUCUGAAAAAUGCCUUAUAUAUCCAUUCACUUGUUAAAUAUUUAUUAAGCACCUACUAAGUGCUCAAUACUUUUCAAGCACAUGGGCUAGAUCAGUGAAUAACAUCAUCAAAAUGGCUGUCCUCAUACAUCUUCAAUUCUUAUGAGAUUAAAGAUAAAGAAAACAAAUAUUAUUCAUCUUUAUUUCAGAUGAUAAAACCAAGACAUAGAGAGAUUUUUUAACUUGCUUGGGACCAAAUAGUUAACGAGUGAUAAAUCUAGAGUUGGCACCCAUGUGGCUCUCUCUGAAGCCCUACUCUAUUCUUUUUUUUUUUUUAAUAUUCUUUUGUUUUUUGUGAGGAAUUUUUAAAAAAGAUUUUAUUUAUUUAUUCAUUAGAAACACACACACACACAGAGGCAGAGACACAAGCAGAGGGAGAAGCAGGCUCCAUGCAGGGAGCCCGAUGUGGGAGUCGAUUCCGGGACUCCAGGAUCACGCCCUGAGCCAAAGGCAGGCACUAAACCACUGAGCCACCCAGGCGUCCUGCCCUACUCUAUUCUGUACAGAGCAUAUACACCUAUUUGACCUUUCCCAAGAGUAAAAACUCAGCUAUUUAUGUAUUCUGAAAAAUCUUUGGAGAAUUGCUUAUAUAGACUCAAGCUGUCAUUCAUAAAAUAGGAACUCUCUUUUAUGGAGAAUUUUUAUAGAUAAGUUUUUGUUCUAUUCUUAGUAUUUUAUUUUAUUAUUUUUAAAAGAUUUUAUUUAUACAUUUAUAUAAUAUAUAUUUGUAUAUUUGAGAGAGAGAGUGAGCACAAGUAGGGAGGAGAGGCAGUGGGACAAGGAGAAGCAGAAUUCCUGCUGAGUGGGGAGCUUAAUGCAGGGCCCAUUGCAAUGUGGGGCUCAAGGCAAGGUUUGAUCCCAGGACUCUGAGAUCAUGACUUGAGCUGAAGGCAGACAAUCAGUUGACUGAGCCACCAAGCCAUCCCAUUCUUAUCAUUUUAAAUGGGCCUAUUUUGCUUUUGAAACCAAAAAGCAAUAUGGGCAAAUGAUCCUGGAGGGGGGAGGGUGGUCUCACUGCUUUUUUGGAUGGGUGAGCCCUCUCACUAUUUCUGAUUCUUGUUUUCCCUGAUUUUCAAGCUACACCAUGGCAUCCCAAGUGACUGAACACAUGGUUGUACUUUCCUGUUCAAUUCUUAAUAUAUCCCUCAGGACAUGAUUUUGAUUUUUGCCUUUCAGCUCUGCAUACCACAGGUGAAGGUAAGAAGCCCAACCUGUGCAGCCUUUCUACCAUUAUAACUGAAUAGCAUUAGGCUGAUAUUUAAAUAUUUCAACUGCUCACUUAGACCAUAAGUCAAAUUCUUUGCACUCGAGUUCCCUUUGGCUCUCUAGACACACACAGCAAAUUGUUUUUUAAUCUGGCAUUUAUUUUCACUUGACUCAUUUUUAAAGUCUUCUUCAUUUUUUUCUGUUCAUUUAUAACUCUAUUAGCUUGGAGACACCAUUCAUUUUGUGAGCAGUACUUUAAACACAUUUCAUCUAUCAGGAUUAAUUUUGCUGAAUGCACGACCAAAUAAAUACAUUAAAAACAACUGUAACACUUCAUUAAUCAAAAUGUCAACUACCACAGAUGUAAAAUGUCCCCCACUUUUAAAAUUCUCUUCCUUUGCUUGUGAGUGCUUGUCUGUUUGACUAAAAUAUAAAAAAGUGGUUAAAAAAUGCUGUCAUUCUAUUAGAAUAUGCAUGCAGAUUUGAAGGUGCAAUCCAUUAUAAUUAAGGCUAAUUAAUUAUUAUAUGGUCAAAUGAGCAACAAAUGCACAUGCAAAAUCUAAAAAGUUAAUUAUUUGAAAAUUGGUUAAUCAAUUGUGCAUUCAAAUGCACAUUUGUUUUAGCAUGCAGACAGUUUGCUCUUUUACAAGGAAUUAGUCUAGAUAAAAAACCAUUAAUGUAAAACAUUUUCAAAUAUCUCUGCUCUAUGGGGAAAGAAAAUACAUUAAGAUCAAAUGGAUCAGAUUCUUAAAAAUCAAAACUGCUUUUUCCAAUCAACAAUCCUCAAAAGAAAGACAAAAUAUUAGUAUGAAAUUAAUUUACAAUAGAGAAAAGAAAUCAGUCUAGAUUACCUACUUUGUGGGAGCCACUCAACCUGAACAUAAUUAAAAGGAAGUCUCCACCAUGUUAAGUGGCCUGCCACCUGCAUAAAGUCCCUCCAAAGGCUGGUGUCCAGAUGGAGUUGCUCUAUUUUAAAAACAAAACUAGGAUCAUGUAAGGAUGUACAAGUCCCUAGUCAACUAAGUGAUUUCAAACAAGUUCUUUUCAUCUUCAAAUUUCACAAGCUGCAUAACUUUAAAAAAGUGAGGGCAGCUCAAGAGACUAGCACCAUGGCAGCAAUAGCAAAACCCCUAACAAACUACAAGGAAGACAUGAGAAGAGUAGUUGCUGAAAGAACCCAUAGUACAUAUGAUUCAUUUUUUUGUAUAUUCAUCGGGGAGUCAAAGCUACUGAAAGCAGAGAAAAUGUUUUAUUGGCUCCUGAAUAUCAGAAAAAAAGAUUUUUUUCUUCAUUAAAGAUGAUUUCCCGGAAUCCUCUGUGGGAGAAGCAGGAGCAAAGUCACUAACUUGGGAGAGGAGAGGUGGCAGGGUAAAAGCACAGAGGUAAAAAUAAACUGAUCUCACUGUAAAAAAAUAUUCACUCGGGGAGAAUAGGCAAUUAAUUUGGAUACAACAAGGGCAUCAGGGCUCUGAAACAGCUUCAUGGAUUUGGUCUUUAUGCAAUGUAUAGUGGAGUCACUGAAGGUUUCUGGCUCAUAAUUAGGACUUCAUUUAAGUGAAAUUUUAAAAAGAUUAAUCUGAGGGCAACUGGGCACAGUGGUUGAGCAUCUGCCUUUGGCUCAGGUCCUGGGAUCGAGUCUUGCAUCGGGCUUCCGGUGGGGAACUGCUUCUCCCUCUGCUUGUGUCUCUGCCUCUCUCUCUCUCUGUGUCUCUCAUGAAUAAAAAAAAAAAA
This 3157-nucleotide long non-coding RNA is filed under the name Canis lupus familiaris (dog). Its description in RNAcentral is "lncRNA (ENSCAFG00845027534.1)". The record is from RNAcentral. Lineage: Eukaryota; Metazoa; Chordata; Mammalia; Carnivora; Canidae.